GGCCACGUGGCGGAAUUGGUAGACGUGCUACCUUGAGGGGGUAGUGUUCUUAUGAACGUGCUGGUUCGACUCCAGUCGUGGUCACAA
This 87-nucleotide transfer RNA is filed under the name Cellulophaga fucicola. RNAcentral describes it as "tRNA_Leu_GAG". It matches the Rfam family "tRNA". From Rfam's summary of the family: Transfer RNA (tRNA) molecules are approximately 80 nucleotides in length. RNAcentral also lists the same sequence under 1 other name. The record is from RNAcentral. Lineage: Bacteria; Pseudomonadati; Bacteroidota; Flavobacteriia; Flavobacteriales; Flavobacteriaceae.